AAAGCUUGCUUUUGGUGUUUCUAGCGGCGGACGGGUGAGUAACGCGUGAGCAAUCUGUCUCAGACAGGGGGAUAACGCAGCGAAAGUUGCACUAAUACCGCAUAAGACCACAGAGCCACAUGGCAUAGGGGUCAAAGGAGCAAUCCGGUCUGAGGUGAGCUCGCGUCCCAUUAGGUAGUUGGUGAGGUAACGGCCCACCAAGCCUGCGAUGGGUAGCCGGACUGAGAGGAAGGUCCCCACAUUGGAACUGAGACACGGUCCAAACUCC
RNAcentral lists this ribosomal RNA (268 nucleotides) under uncultured bacterium. RNAcentral describes it as "partial 16S ribosomal RNA". It matches the Rfam family "Bacterial small subunit ribosomal RNA", at positions 75 to 339 of the family's 1533-position model. The record is from RNAcentral.